Molecule: ribosomal RNA, 465 nt
Filed under: uncultured bacterium
Lineage: Bacteria
Description: partial 16S ribosomal RNA
Rfam family: Bacterial small subunit ribosomal RNA
Source: RNAcentral
CCUACGGGAGGCAGCAGUGGGGAAUUUUGCGCAAUGCUCGUAAGAGUGACGCAGCGACGCCGCGUGAAUGACGAAGGCCUUCGGGUCGUAAAGUUCUUUCGACAGGGAAGAAAAUGCCUAUAAGUAACUGUGUAUGUAUUGACGGUACCUGUAUAAGCAGCCCCGGCUAACUCCGUGCCAGCAGCCGCGGUAAUACGGAGGGGGCGAGCGUUGUUCGGAGGGACUGGGCGUAAAGAGCACGUAGGCGGUGUUGUAAGUCAUUAGUCAAAGACUAGAGCUCAACUUUAGUCAGGCUAGUGAUACUAUAAUACUAGAGUAUCAGAGAGGAUUGCAGAAUGCCUGGUGUAGCGGUGAAAUGCGUAGAUAUCAGGAGGAAUACCGUUAGCGAAGGCGGCAAUCUGGCUGGAAACUGACGCUGAGGUGCGAAAGCGUGGGUAUCAAACAGGAUUAGAUACCCUGGUAGUC